Molecule: long non-coding RNA, 16793 nt
Filed under: Brassica napus (rape)
Lineage: Eukaryota; Viridiplantae; Streptophyta; Magnoliopsida; Brassicales; Brassicaceae
Description: long non-coding RNA (BNAP_LNC020658)
Source: RNAcentral
GAUAUUAUAUAUUUUUGAACGAAAUUUGAAUCGGAUCCUUCCGGGUCCAUGUAAGUUUGUAGGAAUCUAAAAAUAUACAAAUAAUUUAUGUAUUUAGAAAUGUCAUUUAAAAAUCUGUGCGGAUCAAGCUCUAGUUUUAUAUUUAUCAGUAAAUGUAUUUUAUUGGUAAGAUUAGAAGACUGCAUUGCCGACAAGGAGGUUUCUUAUAACAAUAGCAGGCAUGUUGACUUUAGUUUUUCCGACAAGGAGGUUUAAUAUAACAAGUGCAGUCAUGAUAGUGUUUCUUUCGAAAAAUGGUGUUCACACAGUCGCAACGCUCGAAUGUUACUAUUGACACCUUCCUUUCAUCCUGACACUUCUUGUUUCCAUCAGGGCCACAUUUUCCGGAAUAUGAACCAUACCAAUUACACAGAUACUUUUGGCUAUUCACUUUUACAAUUUUCCGGCAACCAACAAAAGAAACAAAAUAAAGUUAAUAUUAGCUUUGCUCAUAUGAAUAGUCAGUAUUUCCAAAACUUGCGGAUAUUGAAUCAAGUGAAAAAAAAAAAGAAUAAUAUAUUACCUUUCACGAUGUUAGCAAAGCAGAACAUAAGAACACAUAAGAAGAUAACUGAAAUAACACUCUUCAUGAUUUAAAAUUUUGAGAAAAUGUUGUUUCUAUUAUUUGUAUAAAACUUAUAUUUUUCUUUAUCAAUCUUGUGAAAAGCAUGCGCUUUUUCUUUGUACAUACACAUCAUAUAUAUACUCAAUAGUAAAUACACACUAAAAAUAGAACUUAAUGUCAUCUUAGCAGGUAAAACCCAAAACAAUGGAAAAUCGUAUUGUGUGGCCAGGCCAAUUCAACGAAGUCGAUAAAAUCGGUAGUUUAUUUCUGGAAAAAAAAAAACGUCGAGGAUAUUUAGGUCACUCAAGUUGACAUUGUCAAUAUAAAUAAAAAUUAAAUUCAAUUGUAGCAAAAACACAUGAUUUGUAUGAAAAGAUAUUUACUGACGUUCCUUUGCAGAACGACGAUCAUGCGGUAAAUCUUCGUAGGGCUGGGCAUCAAAUACUCGGUGUUGUCAAGGCAAAUAACAAGUCAACAAUUUUCAUUACUUGCAUGACUAAGUCAAGUAUCAAGUAUCGUUAUUAUUUUUAUUACUUGACUCAUUACUCCCCGUUACUUGUCUCAUUACUUGCUAUUUGUUACAUGAUCUAUCAAUUACUUGUUUAUAUUUGUCUUUUCUUUUACUUGCAUUUAGGAUUGGACACAAAUACUCAUUACUCUUUUUAAACUUGUUACUCUUUUCGUAUUCAUCUUGAUUUUUAAAUACUCGUUGUCUUCUAGUCAAGUAUUACAUAAAGAAGACAAAUAAAAAAUAUAUAUGCAUAUUUCGCUAUCUAAGCAUUGUAUAAUUUUCACGAUAACAAAAAUUUCUUCUCUAAACAAGUAACAUGUAAUAAUAAGUCAUAUAACUAAAUUUUUAAGUAGAAAAAACAAAACACAUUUUUAUUUCUAUUUCUAAUAGAGUAUUAUUUAGUAAGUAGUUCUUAAAUAUUCCGAAAACCUCGUAAAUAGUUCACAAGUACUCGUAAAUAGUUCACAAAUACUCGUAAAUAGUAAGUAAUAGAGCAAGACAAAUAACUUGCAAGUAAUUUAUUUUUUAUCAAGUACUUUAAAUAGCAAGUACUCAUUUUUAACAAGUCAAGUACAGGUUAAAAAAUUAAUUAUUCGUACAAGGCAAGUCAAGUCGCAAGUACACGCGAAAUAGUAAGUAACCGUCUUGUGCCCAGCCCUAAGUCUUCGUACGUUGUUGGCAUAUAAAUUUUUAUGAAAUAAAAAAAAAAAAACUGAAUUCUCCUCAAUUUUUUUUGCCUAAUCUGUGAAGAGUUACGAUAAGGCUACUCUAUCUUUGGCUGAUGAUGGUCGGAAUACAGUAAUGUGCAUCAAAUUUAAUCCGAAUAGCUCAACAGCAGCAGCAGUCUCUGCAUAAUCAAGUACUUGGCGAAUGGCGAGUGAUAAUAUGUUUUCAAAGCCUUUAUACGAGUCUACCCUUUAUUGUGUCGUCCAAAAACAAAACCUAUAAACCGAUGUUUGAUUUCUCUCUGUUGUAUUGUUGUUUUGAUUUUUAUGAACUGGGAUGUCGUUUUGUUUUCGUAUUGGAUCCAAGCUGAUAUUUUUGAAACUUACAUAGAUCCAGUCCAAAUUAGAGGAAAGUUUUAGUUUGACUUAAUUUUACUUAAAGAAAGUUAAAAGGUAUUUGUUCAGAAUGAGAGAGUGGUUUCAGACGCGUAUGCAAUUAUAGGAUUUUAAAUGGAACCUAAAAUCCAUAUUUUAAUGAGGGAAUACAACUCAGAGGAAUAUAUCAUGUUAUUUUUAUUUGGGAAAAUUGCUAAAACGGAACAAAAAACAGCAUCGUUGUCCUUUUGGUAUAAAACUUUUUUUUUUCUACUUUUUUCCAUUUUAUCAUUUUUAUUUCUAAAAUUUAAUGAAAUAAAUAAUUUUAUGAAUCAAAAAUAUUAUACAAAAAUACAAACAAUUGAUAAAAUACUCAUAUACGCAAACUGAUAUUUUUUUUGGUUGAAAAACUUGAUAAAUUUAAAUUUUAAAUUAUAUUAUACUAAAAGUAGAUUUCGUCUUCUACGAAAAUGAGUUAGUAGAAAUUGAAUUCCAUAUUAAACAAGUUUAUCUAUUUUUUUUAGAAUGAACAAUCUACUUUUAAUUAAACUUCUAAAAAUGAGGAAUGCAAAUUCUACUAAUUGUAUAGUUAGCUACUUUUUCUACUAAUGCAGUUUUUACUUUUAAGAGUUUCCUUCACUCCUAAGCCAUCCACAUCAGAUUCCAUGUCACUAAUUCGGAGUUUGUGGUGACGACAAGUGUCACAGUCAAUCAAAAGUCAAUGUUUCAAUAAUUCUUGAGUUUAAUGGGUUUUAUGUGUUUACUACGGUCCAAAUACAUAUUCUCUAAAAAAACUGUAUACGAAACUUAGGGAAAGUGGCUGUCGAGCAACAAUUCCCGUUAAGUCAACUGUCAAUAGAAAUCCAACGGUUUCACCGGUGACGAACGAUUCCGAUCAAUGUCAGUUGUAAGCCGAAUAAACUUCUUUAAUCUGGCGCCGUUACGGAAAUUCACUUGGUUCAUGCAUCUUCAUUAACAUUCACAUUAAUACCUACUAUCUACUUCUCACACGAUCUCACAUUCAAUGAAUCCCUUCAUUCAUUCAUUUGUGUAAAUCCUCCAUUAUAAAUAUGAAAGUGUUCUUCCAACAAAAUCAUCAGUUCAUUUCUCUUAAUAAACAACACAAAAAGAUGAUGAAAAAAAAAAUUGUUAAGCCCAUGGUUGUACUUAACGGAUUAUGAUAGAAAAGUGAUAAGAAACAAAAAAAAUGAUAUGAGAAACAGAAUAAACAGAGAAGAAGAUAAAAGAGGAAGACGAUACAAGAGGGGAGAUGACUUUUUUUUUAUUGAACAUUUUCUUUAAAAGAUUUAUUUAUCUUUAGCUCAUAAUAAUUUCUAACAUCUUGGUGUUGAUUUUUCAUUAAUGUGGCUCCCUAAAAGGUUUUUGGUGCUGAUCUCAAGGAUACGACAGUUAGUGCAGACAUUUAUGGAUAUAGAAUCUUGUGUGAGUAUGCAUGAUUGUGAUUUGUGAGUAUAUUUCAAUUACAUCUUUUCCAUGCCGACUACUGGACUGUGAAUUCUAUUUAACUUGGCUGCUUCUUUGUCUCCAAAAUUGGCUGAGUUUUGAUAUAUACAUAGAAUGCAUUUUUCUUAUUAUACUUCUAAGUUUGAGUCUGCAUAUAUCACAAUAAAAUGAGAGCGGUAGACGAAUGAGCUGAGUGUGGAAUACUAAACAUGUUCUUACAUGAAAUUGAAAUGUUGUAGUUUUGUCCAAACACUAACUUAUGCCUUAUUUAGAACACUCACUUCUCAUAACAUAUAUACUCUCUUCUCGACAAAUGACACUUGCUAACCUAAUAAAAAAAACAAUCGCAGCAUUGACACAUUUGAAAGAAAAUUCGUCCAACCGCACCUCCUAUUUCGGAAAAAAACAACUAGAACUAAUAUGAUAUGAAAAACAAUAGUUUCAAAUAUAUAUAUAUAUAUAUAUAUAUAUAAAUAAUGUUUCAUUUGAUAUCAACCUAAAAAAUAUUUUAGCACAUAAUUAAUGAUAUAAUAUCAAAGACAUAAAUUUCAAAAAUAUUCAUAAGAAAAAAUAUAAUAUAAGAUUUUUGUAUUAAAAAUUAUUUUACUUAUUAUCAAAAUUAUCAUAAUUACAGUAGAAUAAACAAAGAAAAUAUGUAAAACUGUUAUAUAUUCAUGAACAUUUUAAUAUUAAGCUGAUCAUGAUCUAUAAAAAGAAUAACAAAACAUACACAAUAAAAGUUAAUAUCACCUUAAAUUUAAAGUAAGUUAAACAUUUUGAAAUACUAUUUAACUGAUAUAUUUAUGUAUUUUUGGUUACUAACACGCCCGUAGCAUGAUAGAGAGAGAGAAAGUAAAAUUAUGCUAAUAGUAAAAAUUAGUUUUUUGGUUAAUUUUAAAUAAAGAAAAUAUUAUAUCUCAUAUACAUCUCUUGCAAAUGUAAACAUAAAACACAAACCACAAAUCAUAUAAAAAAUAAUAAUCUUGAUUACAAAUAAAGUAUAUCCCGCCCGUAGGGCGGACCAACUCUAGUCUACAAUAAAAUCAUUUUGAUACUCUCUACAUUCCCAUCACCAUUCAAUAAAAUUAUUUUGAUACUCUCUCUCUACAUUCCCAACACUAUUUGUCGAAUAUAUCAAGUUUUUUUGUCAUUUCUCUAUAAUAUUAUUUGAGAAAUCAGUUUCAUACGUGUCAUUUUCACAUUAAUUUUGGAGAUGAUUAAUUACAGAAAUAAUCUUAACGAAUUAUAACUAUUAUAUCAAACUACCAUUAUUAAAAAUUAUUUUGAAUUAUUUUUUUGUUUAAUAUACUUUAAAUUAAAUUUCGAAUUUUAGUUUAUUUUUGAAAGCACAUUAGAUAAUAAGAAUGGAAAUAUUUUAAAACAUAAUAUUAAUAUAUCAAACUGAUUUUGUUUUUAUGAAAUUUCCCAAAAAUUAUUCUUUUAGUGUGUUUUUUCUUAAAAUAAAUUAGUUUGAUAUAUUAAUCACCCGUACGAUUGUGUGUAUCAAGAUCUAGUUUUACCUUAGCAGUCAUCAUGUUAUCACUUCUGAAGUACCUUUUCCAUGAAAGCAGCUCCAUUUUUGAUCCAACUUCUUUGGAAAAUGUGUACCGUGCCAAUAGAAUAUGUUGAUGUUGUCCAAAAUGUGAUCCAUACACCUUCCUUUUUAUGAAGUGUCCAAAUUUUAGUUUAAUUAUUAUGCGAUUUGUUUUUGCUGUUCCUCAAAAUCAUUGAUAUUAUAUAUAAAACCGAGAUAAAUUUAUGAGAUAUCUGUUACAUUAAUUUUUGGAGCAUAUAACGAAAUCCAUGAAAAUUUUAUUUCUGAAAGACUUAAGAAUUUAUCUCAAUUUUUUAUAACAAUGGUUGAAACAUACCCCAAAAAAAAACUGUCGACAUCAUGUAUUAAACAUUUUUACAAGUAGGAUCCCUUUCUGUGGGGUUGUUUAUAAAUGCAUGGGAGGAAAACAAAUUUUCUUGGAAACUUUCGCCAACUUUUUUGUAUCUUUGUUCAUCGCUCCAUUGGUGUUGUCAUGUACCAAUUUAAUUAUAUAGCAUACCUGUAUAGCGCAUCAGUGAAGCAAUAGCGAUAUAACAUACGGAAAAGUAUGUAUCAUUCCGACGGGACAGGCAUAGUAAUGGUAACCGUUGAAAUUGCAUUUGCUGUAUGCAUGGGUAAUGUAUAAUACAAUAAUAAUAGUGUAUCAGUAUUUAGCACGCUUCAUGGAUUUUGCUAAAAUGGGCUUGCGAUUGACUGGUUUUUACAGACUUGAAAGAAUAGACUUGUCAUGCGAAUGGACCCAGCAAAUUCCAACAUGUUCAAAGUCGUAUAUGCAAAAACGUUAAUAGAAUUUUAAGUUGCAAAAAAAAAAAAACGUUAAUGAACAUAUAUAUUUUUUAAAUGGACAUACUUUGAAUUGGCGAUGAUUCUAUAUAUUAUAGUACGAGUGAUUAAGUAUUUGAUAAAUGAUUAUAAUAUGAGUGAUUCUACGUUGUUGUUCAGGAUGACUUAUUGUAAAACAUUUGGAUAAGGGGUUAUUGGUUGGUGUAUUUUGACGGAUUUGAAAAUUCAAACUAAAUUUAGUGUUAUUGGUUCUAUGAUUUUUAAAAUAUGUAUUGAAAUCAUGUGUUAUUAGUUUAAUGAUUCAUAAAUUCUAAUUAAAAUCAAUUGUUAUUCAAUCAUACGGAUUUACUAAUAGAUUUGAUUUCAUAACGGAUUUGAAUGGAUUUGCAAGGAUUUUUUUGUUAAAAAUAUAAAGACUCAAAUCUGAGAGAAAGCCUCCGGAUUUGUAAAUACUAAUCCGAGAGAAUUUGAAAAUUUGUAUAUUUUACUUGGAUUUAUAAAUACUAUAUAUAAUUUCUAAAUCAAUCAAAAUAUAUUAACUAAUAACACCUUCUAAAUAAUGCGAACAAAUUUUUAAAAACUAAUGAUGGAUCAAAACUAAAACUAAUAAAGCAAUAUUCAAAGUGAUUAUCUUAUACAAUAAAGUUGCCUUGAGUCUCUCCUCCUGCGUCCACGUCAUCAGAGAGGUAGGGGCAAAUGUUGACACAUCAGCAUCUCUUUCUGAACAAAACACGGUGCUUUCGUUUCUAUGAAAUCUCUUGAUGGGCCCACUUAAUUGUACUGAAAGCAAUGUUUUUGAAGAAGAGUUUGGGCUUAAUGAUGAUAUACUGUCUCGUGGUCCAACUCAACCCUAGCACUCAUCCAUCCUCUUCUUCUUCUCGUGUCCCUUGCUUCCCCCUCCUUUCCUGAAACUUCCACUGUAACACCUCCCUUAGAAUUACCGUUUUCUCUUUAAGAGCACACUUUAAAGCUUAAGGCGCAUCCCUCCCAUUAAGUAACAUUUAAUACACCACAAUCUUUUCUUCGCUCUUGAAAUCGAACUCGUAUAAGUAGGAUUGAAUAUCCCCAUUACCCUCACCACUGCAACGUUCUUGCCUCUUCCAGACAUGUUUAAAUUGUUAUGAAGAAAAAUCAAAUUUUUAGCAAUUGGAUUUGCAGAUGUUUGAUUAAAGAUGAUCGAAAUGGUUGAAUCUUCAACCUUUUAAAACUAUUUCUUGAAACUAAGUUUUGUUAGUUUCUGUCCAAAUACUAAUGCUUCUUAGAAAUCUCUUAUUCACUUUGAUAUUACUAUCACCUCAAAGAUUUUUGAAUUUGAACUCUUUUUCAUUUAAUUUUGUUUUUUUUUUCUUUUUGGUCUGAAAGUUGGAAUCUCCAAAAUGUACAAAAACGCCUAUUGUGGAAGGUAGAGAUGAAAGUUGAAACGUUGAAACCUCUAAAAAGAAAAAAAACAUUGCAAUUGUAAACACUAACGCUGCUUGAAACUGUAAGUCUUCCCAUUCAUCUCUACGGUCAUAAUUUCCUUUUAUCUCAUGCCGUUCCUACAGAUUCUGGUUCAGUUUAACUUUUAAAACUCUGUAAACUUGCAUUCUGAAGUAUCUUUUCAUUUACUGUGAAUACUUUGUGUCCGGAACAUAUUGUGAUGGUUGUAACUGGGUCAAUUGUUUCAACAACGUUGCAGUGAACCUGCAAAUGCUAGGAUUGCAAAAAAAUUUGAUGGAAGUCAGGAGAGACAAGCUCUGUUUCACGGUGAAAAUGCCAACAACAUAACUUAUCUCCAACAAGGAGCAAAUGCUGUCAUUACUGAAGUUGUUUGUACCUCGGCCUUUGCUCCUUUUUCCAGCACCCAAGUGGAGUUUUACAGCGACUCCAAUAAUCUAUACAAGAAGAAGCUACUCUUCCUGAUUUUGAUGAUCAACUUUACCAAGAUUUCAUUCGUUCCAUCUAUGUAUUCAUUAUCCUCUGCAUUGAUGCUGGUUCAUCAGGAUUUUGUUAUCUCUUGAUUUGAUCAAUUGGAUUAUAGGAUAAAUGGUUAUACACAUGUGGUGUAUCUUCUAGAACCUGGCGAACAAGCACGGAAUGUGGUUUCAUCCUCCGUAAUCUUCAGUCCGAACUUCCUUUAGUUCUUAAAUCCCGAUGGUCUCAUCUUAUUGAAGUUGUGGUAAGGUAAGUCAUGUUUUCAUUUCUUAGUACGUAAUUGUUUGACCUGAUGGGACCUAUAAACAGUUAUUUUUUCCUAUAAAAUUUCCAAUACAAAUAGUAGCGGCGGGAUAUGUGGGCAGAAGUGAUGGUCUCAGAAAUGUUUCUACAAUCAUCCUCAAGUCAAUUAUAGAUAUGUGUUUAUCUUCUAUGUAUGUGUAUAAUAAUACGGAAUUGUGCUUAUAUUAUUAUUUUUUUGAAUAAAAUGUUAAAUUUGAUUCAAAAGAAAAUGUACUUUUUUAAAUUUGAAUAAUAUGAAAAUGUGCUUAUAUUAAUAACUAUCACAAUUCGUAAGUCAUAUACAAAAUAAUAUUUAAUUUGCUGGAUCAAAAUAAAGAUAAUUAUUGUUUUAGUAAAAAAAUUGUUUUUUUGCAGCAAAAAGAAAAUUAAUAAUUAGAAAAAAAAAAAUAAUAAUAAUAGUGUCUUCUUCCAACUUCUAUAUGAAUUCAUGUUUCUGUAAACAAUAUUUAUUAUAAUAACUAAAUUCAACUUGACUGCAUGAUCCAAGCAAUACUUUGAUAUUAUAAAAAAAAACACAUCUAAUUUGAUAUAACAAAGUACCCAGUUAUGUGAUCAAUAUGAAAUACAGUUUACGAUAUACCCAAAUCACUGAAGGACUAAGCACUUACCAAACCCACACAAAGUCGCAAAGUUAUUUCGACAAGAUCAACCCCAAAUUACAACGGUGCAACACCGCUUGGUAAAUCCAAACAAUUCGACUGCUUUAUGUAUUACAAAUUUACAACCUUCUAACAUUUGCAUAUGGUUGACUUUCAAACCAACACAUGGAAUUCAAAUCCAAAUUCAAAUUUUGUCUUACAACCCGUUAUGUGACAUCAAACCAACACAUGCGUUGGCCCACAAGCCGGACCCAAACAUGAGACACUCACAGAAACAAAGAAGCCAGACUCGCACCAUAAAAGUUCUCCACCGUAAUUGAUAUUUAAAUUGAAAUUAUAGUCACUUCUAUUGACGUACUAAAAUUAAGACACAUUGACCUCAUUCUCUUCAAUUGGUUAAGCAACCACAUUGAUUUCUACACAAAUCAAUUUUAAAUAAUCAGAUGAUAGUGAAGAGUUUCAAAAGAGUUUAUUGAAUCAGUUUUCGUGUCUUGAAGAUUUUUUGUCUCAUUUGGUAAGGCUCGCUGCUUCGGACUAAAGGUACAUAACUAAGUACUGUUGGUUUGAUUCUUAAAUAAUUUUGUGAUGAUGAAUGUGUUUAUAGAUGAUCAAAUGAUAUAAAGUGUUGUUACAAAUCUCAAAUCAAAUACACUGAAAGAAAAUUUAUGAGUGUACCAUCCCCUAUAUAAAUAGAGAUUUAUAUGGAUUGUUACUACUUCAAAAGAGAGAAAUUUGCCGACUACAUUAUUCAAGAAAAAAAUAUGUCAUUGUUUACUUGACUUCUUAAAGACAAAAUUUAAAUUUACAUUUCUUCUAUCAUGAAUUUUUUUUUUUAAAAAUUAUUGUUUGCUAUACUUUUGAAAUUCAUUAUCACUCCUACGAUCAACUUUCCGUUUAGGAUAAGCCAAUAAACUUUGAAAAAAACACAUCCCCUAUAAAAAAACAAUCCUAAACCAAUAAGAUGCAUCAUCACCCACAUUACUAAAAACUUUUAACAUUUUCACUUAGCAGGAAUCAAAACUGCAUUGACAUGACUUCGAAAGCUAAGGAUUCAAGGCCUGAAAUCUUCUAACAUGCACUCAUAAAAUCCAUUAUUAGGUCAGGACUCUCAAUUUUUAAAUGUCAAAAACUAAUAAUUCUAUGUCGAUUGGACUAACAACUAACAAAUGAAAAUGAAACAAAUUGAAUUCAAAAGACAAAACAACAUCCAAACCCGGCGCGUAGCGCCGGAAUACCCCUAGUGAUAGAUAUAAAGGAUUUUGUCAGUUUCGAUAUCCUGGCAAGAUUCAUAAAUUUUGGCAAGUACAUAUAUUAUAUUUGCAAAUUUCUUAUGAGUCUUCUUUGUUUAUUUUAACCAAACUCUGAUAAUAGGACAAUGUUGUUUAAGUCUGGAAUAAAGUAUUUACAAAUAUUAUAUUUUGUUUUGAAUAUUAGUUAUGUUGGUUUAUUGAGUCAAAACUUAGGAAUUAGUGAACUUUUCUUGGAACUAAUCAUCUAACUAUUAUCUAGUACUAUUCUUUGAGUUAUUAAUUAUAAGUUGUACGACAUAGAAAGCCCAAAGUAGAUCGAUCUGCCAAUAAUAUCUAUGUUUGUGUGAGUGUAUGAAGGAUCCAAAACUAUCAUGCAACAUUAAUAAACUUGAAUCUUUCAUCUUGGAGCUUCGUAUACAAUGGAUUGGAUUUCUCAUCCAAGUCUAAAAGACAUGUUUGUGUGAGUAUGGUUCCAUUCUCUCUUCCCUUCAAUAAAAAGCUGAAAGAAAAGAAAAGAUUUAGAUGAUUUUAUAUGGAGUAAAGGGGUAGAAAAAUUUCAUGUGACCCCAUUAUUUUACUUCAAAUGGAAUGACCACACAAAGAUGGAAGCGGGGAGUAGGAAAAUUCCAUGUGACCAUUAUUCGCUUAUACUUUAGAGCAUAAAAAGAAAGAAAAGGAAGAGAGACAAAAUGAUAAAAUUAAGAAAAGAGGGAGGAAAAGAACCAGAGAAGACUGUCCAUGUGAUCAGAAACCUGAAUGGAUAAGAGUCCAUGUAUUCUUUGUUCGAUAUUCCCUAGAUGGGACUGCACAUAAGGCUAUUAAAUGAAGUCAGUGAUGGUGAAUUUGGAUAUCUCUUAUGAGUUGUGGCUGAAAAUAGUCUAGUUGCUAAGCAGAGGUCAACUACAUGGAAGUGCCUUCUAAGGUUGGUAUUAUUUGAUGUGGCUUGCAACAGGUAAUUUGAAAGUGUGUGUUCUAAGGAAUAUGUGAGUUCAUGUGUUUCAAACCUCUUUCACAAGUUUAGUUUUUGUUUUGCUUGAGGGAAAUCAAAUGAUAAGUUUGGGGAGAGUUUUUAUAGGUUUUGACCAUGAUAUAAAUCCUUAUUUAGAGUCUUUAUAUUAUGUUUUGAGUCGCAUUUAGAAUCUUUACAAGUUUAGGUAUGUUCUGGACUUAUUUGGAGAUUCUAAAGCACAUUGGAGAUUGGAUAAAAUUGGAGCUGAAAAGCUGAAGUCGGAGUCGAUGUUUACGCAUGUGUUGAUUGACUCUCUCCUUGGUGUCGGUCGGCAUCCAUCUCAUACAAACAAACCGACACUGAUUAAAGAAUUUCAUAAUUUAUAUUAAAAAAAAAAUUCCAUUAUUUCCGCAAGGGUCUCUGAACGUGUUUUAUACAUAUAUAUUCUAUUUUAAGCCAUCGUUUAUGCUCAAAAUUAUUUUAGAUAUGGAGAGACAAGUCAGAAGUCAUUCAAAGAUUGAUUUCAAACUCUAGUAUUUCUUACUUUAGUAUAUUUAUGAAAUUUAUUCACAAUAUGAUUUAUGUUUCUGUUAUCAUGUUUGAGUAAACCCGCCUGUUAAAUUUAGAAUUUUCAAAGAAUUGAUGAAUUUACUAGAAUGAACUGUUAGGGUUUACUCUAUCUUCUUCAACUUGAUUGUUCUUAAUGCUGGAUUUGGAUUGACGACCUAAAAUCUAGAUCUUAGUAUAAUUGGUAGAUGUGAAAGCAUUAUUGAUUGCCUAAAUUAAUUUUGAUGAGCUAAAUAACUAUUCGCAAAGAAAUUUAGUUUAUGGAAUUAGUGAGCUUAUCAAACUUGAUCUUAAUGCAUGUCUUAGUUGUUUAAAUUCUAUAAAAACAAAUUGAGAUUCUAGGAUCUAGACAUAGAUUAUCUUUGCAAAGAAAAUUGAUUGAUUUUUGAAUUGCAUUUUCAGUUCUACAAUUGUUCUUUAUAAAAACUAAUAAUUGUUUGAUUUACAAUUCUGACUUCCUGCAAAUUUCCCGAAGUCUAGGUACUUUCUUCCAUCACUUACAACCGUUUUAUUUCCUGUCUUUAUUGCUUUCUAGUUUCUGAUCUAGCUUAAUCUGAUAAAUAAUGUCUAUUGUGUGAUCUCAGUCCUUCUAGAUUCGAUCCCUAUGUAUUAUAACUAGCACUCUGAAAUUGCAGAGUUGCUCUUAGGAUAAAUUUUAUCAUAUCAAAAAGACUCUCUUACUAGAGAGUAUAGAUGACUUAUUAAAGUUGAUACAAUGCCCCAAAGCUUUUCCAUAUUAGACGCAAAUAAAUAUCACAGUUAAUGAUGUUUUAAUAGUUUAUUUAUUUAUUUUGUAAUCAUCUGAGAAAAAUAACUUCAUAAAAACUUUUAAUUUCAUCGUCAGUGUAUUUCAGGACAUCAACUGACUUUUUUUUAACAAAAAAAAAAAAAAAAAAAAAAAAAAAAAAAAAAAAAAAAAAACUUUUAAUUUGUAAAAUUGAUAAUCUUGGUUAAGAUUAUUUUUACAGGAAAGUAAAUUUUAAGAUAAUAAGAAUAAUUUUUGUGAGCUUUCCUUUUUAUGAAAUAACUUUUAUAUAUUAAUAUCAAGUUUUUAAUUUUUAAUAUAUUUAUUUUAAUUAUAAUUUGGUUUCACAAAUACAGAAAAGAAAAGUAAUUCUUAUGAUAUAAAGAAUAAUUUUUGUGUGCUUUUUCUUAAAAAAAAAUUUUGAUAUAUUAAUCACCCAUACGAUUGUGUGUAUCAAGAUCUAGUUUUACCUUAGCAGGCAUCAUGUUAUCACUUGUGAAGUAUUUUGGUAGGAUAUUUUACCAUAUAUAUAUAUAUAUAUUAUAUAUAUAUCAAUGCAAUACGAAUUUUCUCUUUAUCACAUUGCUUUACAUUCCCUAACCAAGUUUUAGAUGCCAUUGCAAAAUUAUACAAGUUCUAACCAUAAUUUCCGCAGUUAUUAAUUACUGAUUUAAUUUAUAAAGUAUUACUUGGUUGAAACAAAUAAAAUAUAAACCGAGCUAAAUUUAUGAGAUAUCUAUAACAUUAAUUUUUGGAGCAUAUAACGAAAUCCAUGAAAAUUUUAUUUCUGAAAGACAUAAGAAUUUAUCUCAAUUUUUUAACAAUGGUUGAAACAUACCCCCAAAAAAAAAGAUCCCGUGUGAUCUAUUUAUCUUUAGCUCAUAAUAAUUUCCAACAUCUUGGUGUUGAUUUUUCAUUAAUGUGGCUCCCUAAAAGGUUGUUGGCGCUGAUCUCAAGGAUACAACAGUUAGUGCAGACACUUGUAGAUAUAGAAUCCGGUGUGAGUAUGCAUGAUUGUGAUUUGUGAGUAUAUUUCAAUUACAUCUUUUCCAUACUGACUACUGGACUGUGAAUUCUAUUUAACUUGGCUGCUUCUUUGUCUCCAAAAUUGGCUGAGUUUUGAUAUAUACAUAGAAUGCAUUUUUCUUAUUAUACUUCUAAGUUUGAGUCUGCAUAUAUCACAAUAAAAUGAGAACGGUAGAUGAAUGAGCUGAGUGUGGAAUACUAAACAUGUUCUUACAUGAAAUUGAAGCGUUGUAGUUUUGGCCAAACACUAACUUAUGCCUUAUUUAGAACACUCACUUCCCAUAACUUAUAUACUCUCUUGUCGACAAAUGACACCUACUAACCUAAUAAAAAAAACAAUCACAGCGUUGACACAUUCGAAAGAAAAUUCGUCCAACCGCACCUCCUAUUUCGAAAAAAACAACUAGAACUAAUAUGAUACGAAAAACAAUAGUUUCAAAUAUAUAUAUAUAUAUAAGAAAAUAAUGUUUCAUUUGACAUCAACCUAAAAUAAUAAUUUAGCACAUAAUUAAUAAUAUAAUAUCAAAGACAUAAAUUUAAAAAUAUUCAUAAGAAAAAAUAUAAUAUAAGAUUUUUGUAUUAAAAAUUAUUUUGUUUAUUAUCAAAAUUAUCAUAAUUACAGUAGAAUAAACAAAGAAAAUAUGUAAAACUAUUAUGUAUUCAUGAACAUUUUAAUAUUAAGAUGAUCAUGAUCUAUAAACAGAAUAACAAAACAUACACAAUAAAAGUUAAUAUCACCUUAAAUUUUAAGUAAGCCAAACAUUUUGAAAUACUCUUUAACUGAUAUAUUUAUGUAUUUUUGGUUACUAACACGCCCGUAGCGUGAAUAGAGAGAGAGAAAGUAAAAUUAUGCUAAUAGUAAAAAUUAGUUUUUUGGUUAAUUUUAAAUUAAGAAAAUAUUAUAUCUCAUAUACAUCUCUUGCAAAUGUAAACAUAAAACACAAACCACAAAUCAUAUAAAAAAUAAUAAUCUUGAUUACAAAUAAAGUAUGGCGGGGCGGACCGACCCUAGUCUACAAUAAAAUCAUUUUGAUACUCUCUACAUUCCCAUCACCAUUCAAUAAAAUCAUUUUGAUACUCUCUCUCUCUACAUUCCCAACACUAUUUGUCGAAUAUAUCAAGUUUUUUUUUGUCAUUUCUCUAUAAUAUUAUUUGAGAAAUCAGUUUCAUACGUGUCAUUUUCACAUUAAUUUUGGAGAUGAUUAUUUACAAAAAUAAUCUUAACGAAUUAUAAUUAUUAUAUCAAACUACCAUUAUUAAAAAUUAUUUUGAAUUAUAUUUUUGUUUAAUAUACUUUUAAUUAAAUUUCGAAUUUUAGUUUAUUUUUGAAAGCACAUUAUAUAAUAAGAAUGGAAAUAUUUUAAAACACAAUAUUAAUAUAUCAAACUGAUUUUUUUUUAAGAAAUUUCCCAAAAAUUAUUAUUUUUGUGUGUUUUUUCUUAAAAUAAAUCAGUUUGAUAUAUUAAUCGCCCGUACGAUUGUGUGUAUCAAGAUCUAGUUUUAUCUUAGUAGUCAUCAUGUUAUCACUUCUGAAGUACCUUUUCCAUGAAAGCAGCUCCAUUUUUGAUCCAAAUUCUUUGGAAAAUGUGUACCGUGCCAAUAGAAUAUGUUGACGUUGUCCAAAAUGCGAUCCAUAAACCUUUUUAUGAAGUGUCCAAAUUUUAGUUUAAUUAUUAUGCGAUUUGUUUUUCCUGUUCCUCAAAAUCAUUGAUAUUAUAUAUAUAUAUAUAUAUAAAUAUAUAUAUUUUUGGUAGGAUAUUUUACCAUAUAUAUAUAUAUUAUAUCAAUGCAAUGCGAAUUUUCUCUUUAUCACAUUGCUUUACACUCCCUAACCACGUUUUAGAUGCCAUUGCAAAAUUAUACAAGUUCUAACCAUAAUUUCCGCAGUUAUUAAUUACUGAUUUAAUUUAUAAAGUAUUACUUGGUUGAAACAAAUAAAAUAUGGUAAAAUAAUCAUAUGAUUUUUAUUACACACAAUAGUUUGUUAUCGCCGUACAAAAAAAGAUCCAACUCAUUAUUUCAGAUGGGUUAUCUUCUUCUUUUGUAGCUUCUCUGCUUGACUGCUUCUAUUUACCACUGGAACUUCUAUUAUUCUUAGAUCCACCGCUAGAGCUUUUAUUCUUCUAAGAUCCACCACCGGAGCUUCGUCUUAGCUGCAUGCAUGGUCGCCUUCUUCUCCAGUUCUCUUCUUUAGUUGCUUGUUUUGUCUCUGAUAUAGUUGUAUUGCUUUUAAUGUUUGCUGUUUAGCUUAGUUUAAUUUUAUGUGAAUGUGUUAUGUCGUUGUCUCGAUUAACUUAGUUAAUUUUUUUUUGAAAUUGUGAAUAUAUUAUGUAUCGGUUAGCUUAGUUAAUUGUUUGAAAUUGUGAAUGUGUCUGUUCAACUAAACAAGUUUAUUGCAUGAUCAUAUUCAAUCCUCGACUAGACUCAUGUACUGAACUGUACUGAUGCACCAUGAAGCAGCUAAAGCGUACUGAUGCCCAUAUACGCGUUUGUAAUUCUAUGUCCCACGGGCUGACCCGCGAAGGCCUACAUGAUUUGCGGUACGGGAUUGAGCAGCCAUUCUGAGGACCACAGCCCGUGCGGGAUUGGCCCACUGUGACCCGUUCGAAGACGAACCCCGCUGUGGUUCGGACCGGGACGGAAGUGACCAAUUGCCAUCUCUACCUAUAUUUUAUUAAAAUUGGAGUACAAAACAAUACAUACUUAUUGUAAGGUGAUUUCUUACAUCUUCUUCAUUAUUUUAACUAAUGUUAACAAUUUCAUUUAUUGUCUUUUCAUCAUUUAUUACAAAAAAAACAAAACAAAACUUACCUAUUUUACUUAUUUUAUUACAUCUUGUACAUUUUUUUAUUCAUCAUAACUAAUUCGUUAAUCGUAUUUACCAUCAUAAUCUAACAUCAUUUAUUUUAUGUGUAAACAAUAAUAAUUUCACAAAUUUGAAUGAUAUUGCUACAUUCGUGACAAGAAUUCAAAUCGGUUAACAAAAAAAAUUAUUUGUUUACAUAAUCAGUUAGACAUGGCAUUCAGUUGUCUAUCUGAAUACAUAUCAGUUUUUUGGAUAUCAAGUUUUUUGGAUUUUAAAAUUAAAAUUCGUUUCGGAUAUUAUAUAUUUUUGAACGAAAUUCGAAUCGGACCCUUCCGGGUCCAUGUAGGUUUGUAGGAAUCUAAAAAUAUACAAAUAAUUUAUGGAUUUAGAAAUGUCAUUUAAAAAUCUGUGUGGAUCAAGCUCUAGUUUUAUACUUAUCAGUAAAUGUAUUUUAUUGGUAAGAUUAGAAGACUGCAUUGCCGACAAGGAGGUUUCUUAUAACAAUAGCAGGCAUGUUGUCUUUAGUUUUUCCGACAAGGAGGUUUAAUAUAACAAGUGCAGUCAUGAUAGUGUUUCUUUCGAAAAAUGGUGUUCACACAGUCGCAACGCUCGAAUGUUACUAUUGACACCUUCCUUUCAUCCUGACACUUCUUGUUUCCAUCAGGGCCGCAUUUUCC